AUUGAACGCUGGCGGCAGGCCUAACACAUGCAAGUCGAGCGGAUGAAGGGAGCUUGCUCCUGGAUUCAGCGGCGGACGGGUGAGUAAUGCCUAGGAAUCUGCCUGGUAGUGGGGGAUAACGUCCGGAAACGGGCGCUAAUACCGCAUACGUCCUGAGGGAGAAAGUGGGGGAUCUUCGGACCUCACGCUAUCAGAUGAGCCUAGGUCGGAUUAGCUAGUUGGUGGGGUAAAGGCCUACCAAGGCGACGAUCCGUAACUGGUCUGAGAGGAUGAUCAGUCACACUGGAACUGAGACACGGUCCAGACUCCUACGGGAGGCAGCAGUGGGGAAUAUUGGACGAGGGGCGAAAGCCUGAUCCAGCCAUGCCGCGUGUGUGAAGAAGGUCUUCGGAUUGUAAAGCACUUUAAGUUGGGAGGAAGGGCAGUAAGUUAAUACCUUGCUGUUUUGACGUUACCAACAGAAUAAGCACCGGCUAACUUCGUG
This 484-nucleotide ribosomal RNA is filed under the name uncultured bacterium. Its description in RNAcentral is "partial 16S ribosomal RNA". It matches the Rfam family "Bacterial small subunit ribosomal RNA", at positions 30 to 507 of the family's 1533-position model. The record is from RNAcentral.